GCAGCUGUGGCCGAGUGGUUAAGGCGAUGGACUAGAAAUCCAUUUGGGGGCUCCCCCCUAGGUUCGAAAACCUACCGGCUGCA
Molecule: non-coding RNA, 83 nt
Organism: Trichonephila inaurata madagascariensis
Lineage: Eukaryota; Metazoa; Arthropoda; Arachnida; Araneae; Nephilidae
Source: the annotation of a GenBank genome assembly